Molecule: non-coding RNA, 1649 nt
Organism: Benincasa hispida (wax gourd)
Lineage: Eukaryota; Viridiplantae; Streptophyta; Magnoliopsida; Cucurbitales; Cucurbitaceae
Source: RefSeq, a predicted model, not a curated record
CCAUUUUCUUCUUCUUCCUCACGCAUGCCCCCCUCAACUUUCUGCAUCGUCCAACCCUAGAGUUUGGCGCUGUCAACCGCUCGUCCCACUCACAUCCAGUCGUUGUUGAAGCCGCACCGACCUUCACGUGUGAACGAGCCGAGCGAUGCUACGACUUCCAACUGAAGCCACGCCUUCUUGCAUUUCCGUUCGUGAGUGCUAGCCCAAGCCACCGUCCUCCGUUCACUGCUGCAUCGCCCAGUCGAGGGCGUCGUCUCGUCUGUCAGCCGGGCGUUAGAUCCGUCAAUCGCGGGUUCUGCUUCCACUGACCAGAUCUGCUUCAUCUCACCAGAUCCAGCUGCGCAUCCGCCGCCCCAGCCGCACCACUACCGGUCGCCGUUGUCCCUGCCGCAUCGGGUCCGUUUUGUCUUUGUCGGAAUCUUGGAUUAAGGGUUAUUGAAGUUGUCGUCUAGCCAAUUAAAGGUGUAGUCGACGAAUCUUGGUGAAGGGUAAGGCUCUAAACUCAUAUGGGUUGUUAAGCAUGUUGUAUGUUUAUGAAUUACUCGAUUUAUGUUUGACUGAACCAUGGACUGCGGCCUAAAAUAAUUUGCCAUGAUGUUUGGGUGUUAGGUUUGGAUCUUGAGGUUUCCUGGUGUCUUUGUUUUGAGUGAUUUAAGUUUGAACCUGUGGGUUUUCGAAGGCUCUUUUCGUGAUGGUGACCAUUUGGAUUGAGUUUGUUCGUGACAGAUCCAGAGAAAGGAAAUAUGUGAAGAAGGGUUCUUCAAAGGUAAGUUUUCUCUCACCCUAAUUCUCUUAUUUCCUUUUUAUUUGCAUGUUGUAAAUUUAUGAUUAUGCAUAACAUUUGUACUCUGUAAUUUUGAUUUUGUGGAAAUAAAUUUUGGAUAAAUCUCCACGCUUUCGCUCAAGGACCUCCAAAGGUUCCUUCAAUUGGUAUAAGAGCCAGGUUUUGAUCCCUAAUUUUUAUUGUUCCAAAUUUUAAUUUUACAGAAUCGGUGGGUAGAAUUCUAUAUAUGUUCAUGUGAUGAAUGUUUGUGAAUGUGAAUGGUAUGAUUAUUGGAUGUUUUUGGGAUUAGACUGUUUAGAUUUAUUGCUUUCAAUUUACAAAUUCGUUUGUAAGGGCCCAUGGUUUGGGCAUUAUUGUUUGCGAUCGAGUCUGUUAUUUAAAUGUUUGAGUCGCUCGUGCUGUUCCCAGUGCGUUUCGAAGGAAAAACAAAGCAACCUUACGAUGAGGAAAACAUCACUUGGUGUUUGCUAAGAGAUCGCAUAGCGUUACUGAGAGAUAAUGUAGCAUUUGCUGAGAGAUUGCCCAAGGUUUGCUGAGAGAUCACAUAGCAUUUGCUAAAAGAUCGCAUAGCGUUUGCCAAGAGAUUAUGUAGCAAUUACUAACAGAUCACGUAGCUUUUACUAAGAGAUCGUGUAGCAUUUGCCGAGAGAUCUCUUAGCGUCUGCUAAGAGAUCUCCCAAUGUUUGCUAAGAGAUCUUUCAGCAUUUUCUAAGAGAUGGUUGCUAAGAGAUCACUGCUGAGAGAUCAUUGGUAGGUGAUUUGGUUCGAGGGGUUCAAGGCCCGAUUCACUUGUUUCGAACCGGUUGACUAUUAUUUUGUAAUAAUUAAUUUUUUAACUAAAUUAAUAUAAGUGUUAUAUUAAUUU